GCCGUGGUGGCGGAAUUGGUAGACGCGUCGGUCUCAAAAACCGAUGAUGACAACAUCAUGAGAGUUCGAUUCUCUCCCGCGGCA
Molecule: transfer RNA, 84 nt
Filed under: Candidatus Omnitrophota bacterium
Lineage: Bacteria; Pseudomonadati; Candidatus Omnitrophota
Description: tRNA-Leu
Rfam family: tRNA
About the family: Transfer RNA (tRNA) molecules are approximately 80 nucleotides in length. Their secondary structure includes four short double-helical elements and three loops (D, anti-codon, and T loops).
Source: RNAcentral